GACGAACGCUGGCGGCGUGCUUAACACAUGCAAGUCGAACGGAAAGGCCCUGCUUUUGUGGGGUGCUCGAGUGGCGAACGGGUGAGUAACACGUGAGUAACCUGCCCUUGACUUUGGGAUAACUUCAGGAAACUGGGGCUAAUACCGGAUAGGAGCUCCUGCUGCAUGGUGGGGGUUGGAACGUUUCGGCGGUUGGGGAUGGACUCGCGGCUUAUCAGCUUGUUGAUGGGGUAGUGGCUUACCAAGGCUUUGACGGGUAGCCGGCCUGAGAGGGUGACCGGCCACAUUGGGACUGGGGUACGGCCCAGACUCCUACGGGAGGCAGCAGUGGGGAAUAUUGCACAAUGGGCGGAAGCCUGAUGCAGCAACGCCGCGUGCGGGAGGACGGCCUUCGGGUUGUAAACCGCUUUCGCCUGUGACGAAGCGUGAGUGACGGUAAUGGGUAAAGAAGCACCGGCAAACUACGG
RNAcentral lists this ribosomal RNA (467 nucleotides) under uncultured bacterium. Its description in RNAcentral is "partial 16S ribosomal RNA". It matches the Rfam family "Bacterial small subunit ribosomal RNA", at positions 28 to 506 of the family's 1533-position model. The record is from RNAcentral.